GUCGAGCGAACAGAUAAGGAGCUUGCUCCUUUGACGUUAGCGGCGGACGGGUGAGUAACACGUGGAUAACCUACCUAUAAGACUGGGAUAACUUCGGGAAACCGGAGCUAAUACCGGAUAACAUAUUGAACCGCAUGGUUCAAUAGUGAAAGGCGGCUUUGCUGUCACUUAUAGAUGGAUCCGCGCCGUAUUAGCUAGUUGGUAAGGUAACGGCUUACCAAGGCAACGAUACGUAGCCGACCUGAGAGGGUGAUCGGCCACACUGGAACUGAGACACGGUCCAGACUCCUACGGGAGGCAGCAGUAGGGAAUCUUCCGCAAUGGGCGAAAGCCUGACGGAGCAACGCCGCGUGAGUGAUGAAGGUCUUCGGAUCGUAAAACUCUGUUAUCAGGGAAGAACAAAUGUGUAAGUAACUGUGCACAUCUUGACGGUACCUGAUCAGAAAGCCACGGCUAACUACGUGCCAGCAGCCGCGGUAAUACGUAGGUGGCAAGCGUUAUCCGGAAUUAUUGGGCGUAAAGCGCGCGUAGGCGGUUUUUUAAGUCUGAUGUGAAAGCCCACGGCUCAACCGUGGAGGGUCAUUGGAAACUGGAAAACUUGAGUGCAGAAGAGGAAAGUGGAAUUCCAUGUGUAGCGGUGAAAUGCGCAGAGAUAUGGAGGAACACCAGUGGCGAAGGCGACUUUCUGGUCUGUAACUGACGCUGAUGUGCGAAAGCGUGGGGAUCAAACAGGAUUAGAUACCCUGGUAGUCCACGCCGUAAACGAUGAGUGCUA
Molecule: ribosomal RNA, 775 nt
Filed under: Staphylococcus haemolyticus
Lineage: Bacteria; Bacillati; Bacillota; Bacilli; Caryophanales; Staphylococcaceae
Description: bacterial SSU rRNA
Rfam family: Bacterial small subunit ribosomal RNA
Source: RNAcentral